GAUCCUGGCUCAGAUUGAACGCUGGCGGCAUGCCUUACACAUGCAAGUCGAACGGUAACGCGGGGCAACCUGGCGACGAGUGGCGAACGGGUGAGUAAUAUAUCGGAACGUGCCCAGUAGUGGGGGAUAGCCCGGCGAAAGCCGGAUUAAUACCGCAUACGACCUAUGGAUGAAAGCAGGGGACCGCAAGGCCUUGCGCUCACGGAGCGGCCGAUGGCAGAUUAGGUAGUUGGUGGGAUAAAAGCUUACCAAGCCGACGAUCUGUAGCUGGUCUGAGAGGACGACCAGCCACACUGGGACUGAGACACGGCCCAGACUCCUACGGGAGGCAGCAGUGGGGAAUUUUGGACAAUGGGGGAAACCCUGAUCCAGCAAUGCCGCGUGAGUGAAGAAGGCCUUCGGGUUGUAAAGCUCUUUUGUCAGGGAAGAAACACCGGCUCUAACACAGUCCGGGAAUGACGGUACCUGAAGAAUAAGCACCGGCUAACUACGUG
Molecule: ribosomal RNA, 494 nt
Filed under: uncultured bacterium
Lineage: Bacteria
Description: bacterial SSU rRNA
Rfam family: Bacterial small subunit ribosomal RNA
Source: RNAcentral